UAAUUUUAAGGUCACUGACUGUGCCCCAGAGUCACAAAAAAUUAACUUGGGACUCAGGCCAUGUAAGGUUUUGCAGGAAGACAACUUCUUUCACCAUAGAGAGUGCCAAGGAAAUUUCAGAUGAGCAUUUGACAAGGGGACCCGAUCUUUUAUUCCCGACACAUGGCAAACCUUCUAUUCAUUUCAGCAAAAAUCGAGAGAAAGGCCUCAAAACAUGCAGCCGCUCCCAACGAGGGAUGAUGAGCAAAUCCUGCAGCCUGCUGGAGUGCAGCGUGGCGCACCUCGAUGGCACAGAAACCGAGCCCAGCCCAUUCUCAAGGCACAUAUUUGAUCAGACAUGCAUAAGCUACAGCAAAGAGAAACAUCUUUAUCCAACUGUACAUCUGGAUAUCCGUUCAACUUUUUGGACAACUGAAAUAAGAAAAAAAACCCAGUAUUUGAAACCCUUCCUGAAAAUUAUACCUAGUGAUGGUGCAUAAUGUGUUUACAUCGCCUGAAUAAAAAUUCCUGUUGCUAGAAAAGGUUCCUGAAAUCUAGAAUAAAUCCAUGUUAAAUACCAAGAUGGAAAA
Long non-coding RNA from Haemorhous mexicanus (house finch), 569 nucleotides. RefSeq lists it as uncharacterized. The record is from RefSeq and is a predicted model, not a curated record. The transcript has 3 exons. Lineage: Eukaryota; Metazoa; Chordata; Aves; Passeriformes; Fringillidae.